GAAGGUUGGGUAACACUAACUGGAGGACCGAACCGACUAAUGUUGAAAAAUUAGCGGAUGACCUGUGGCUGGGGGUGAAAGGCCAAUCAAACCGGGAGAUAGCUGGUUCUCCCCGAAAGCUAUUUAGGUAGCGCCUCGUGAAUUCAUCUCCGGGGGUAGAGCACUGUUUCGGCUAGGGGGCCAUCCCGGCUUACCAACCCGAUGCAAACUGCGAAUACCGGAGAAUGUUAUCACGGGAGACACACGGCGGGUGCUAACGUCCGUCGUGAAGAGGGAAACAACCCAGACCGCCAGCUAAGGUCCCAAAGUCAUGGUUAAGUGGGAAACGAUGUGGGAAGGCCCAGACAGCCAGGAUGUUGGCUUAGAAGCAGCCAUCAUUUAAAGAAAGCGUAAUAGCUCACUGGUCGAGUCGGCCUGCGCGGAAGAUGUAACGGGGCUAAACCAUGCACCGAAGCUGCGGCAGCGACACUGUGUGUUGUUGGGUAGGGGAGCGUUCUGUAAGCCUGCGAAGGUGGCCUGUGAGGGUUGCUGGAGGUAUCAGAAGUGCGAAUGCUGACAUAAGUAACGAUAAAGCGGGUGAAAAGCCCGCUCGCCGGAAGACCAAGGGUUCCUGUCCAACGUUAAUCGGGGCAGGGUGAGUCGACCCCUAAGGCGAGGCCGAAAGGCGUAGUCGAUGGGAAACGGGUUAAUAUUCCCGUACUUGGUGUUACUGCGAAGGGGGGACGGAGAAGGCUAUGUUGGCCGGGCGACGGUUGUCCCGGUUUAAGCGUGUAGGUGUGUGUUCCAGGUAAAUCCGGUUCACUUUAACACUGAGGCGUGACGACGAGGCACUACGGUGCUGAAGCAACAAAUGCCCUGCUUCCAGGAAAAGCCUCUAAGCAUCAGGUAACAUCAAAUCGUACCCCAAACCGACACAGGUGGUCAGGUAGAGAAUACCAAGGCGCUUGAGAGAACUCGGGUGAAGGAACUAGGCAAAAUGGUGCCGUAACUUCGGGAGAAGGCACGCUGACACGUAGGUGAAGUGAUUUACUCAUGGAGCUGAAGUCAGUCGAAGAUACCAGCUGGCUGCAACUGUUUAUUAAAAACACAGCACUGUGCAAACACGAAAGUGGACGUAUACGGUGUGACGCCUGCCCGGUGCCGGAAGGUUAAUUGAUGGGGUCAGCGCAAGCGAAGCUCCUGAUCGAAGCCCCGGUAAACGGCGGCCGUAACUAUAACGGUCCUAAGGUAGCGAAAUUCCUUGUCGGGUAAGUUCCGACCUGCACGAAUGGCGUAAUGAUGGCCAGGCUGUCUCCACCCGAGACUCAGUGAAAUUGAACUCGCUGUGAAGAUGCAGUGUACCCGCGGCAAGACGGAAAGACCCCGUGAACCUUUACUAUAGCUUGACACUGAACAUUGAGCCUUGAUGUGUAGGAUAGGUGGGAGGCUUUGAAGUGUGGACGCCAGUCUGCAUGGAGCCGACCUUGAAAUACCACCCUUUAAUGUUUGAUGUUCUAACGUGGACCCGUUACCCGGGUUGCGGACAGUGUCUGGUGGGUAGUUUGACUGGGGCGGUCUCCUCCUAAAGAGUAACGGAGGAGCACGAAGGUUGGCUAAUCCUGGUCGGACAUCAGGAGGUUAGUGCAAUGGCAUAAGCCAGCUUGACUGCGAGCGUGACGGCGCGAGCAGGUGCGAAAGCAGGUCAUAGUGAUCCGGUGGUUCUGAAUGGAAGGGCCAUCGCUCAACGGAUAAAAGGUACUCCGGGGAUAACAGGCUGAUACCGCCCAAGAGUUCAUAUCGACGGCGGUGUUUGGCACCUCGAUGUCGGCUCAUCACAUCCUGGGGCUGAAGUAGGUCCCAAGGGUAUGGCUGUUCGCCAUUUAAAGUGGUACGCGAGCUGGGUUUAGAACGUCGUGAGACAGUUCGGUCCCUAUCUGCCGUGGGCGCUGGAGAACUGAGGGGGGCUGCUCCUAGUACGAGAGGACCGGAGUGGACGCAUCACUGGUGUUCGGGUUGUCAUGCCAAUGGCACUGCCCGGUAGCUAAAUGCGGAAGAGAUAAGUGCUGAAAGCAUCUAAGCACGAAACUUGCCCCGA
This 2074-nucleotide ribosomal RNA is filed under the name Salmonella enterica subsp. enterica serovar Enteritidis. RNAcentral describes it as "partial 23S ribosomal RNA". It matches the Rfam family "Bacterial large subunit ribosomal RNA", at positions 747 to 2802 of the family's 2925-position model. Lineage: Bacteria; Pseudomonadati; Pseudomonadota; Gammaproteobacteria; Enterobacterales; Enterobacteriaceae. The record is from RNAcentral.